GUGUCAGCCGCCGCGGUAAGACGGAGGGGGCAAGCGUUGUCCGGAAUUACUGGGCGUAAAGCGCACGUAGGCGGUCGUGUACGGCGGUGGUGAAAGCUCCCGGCUCAACUGGGAGAGGCCCAUCGCAACGGCGCGACUCGAGGGUGGUAGAGGCGGAUGGAAUUCCUGGUGUAGCGGUGAAAUGCGUAGAGAUCAGGAGGAACACCCGUGGCGAAGGCGGUCCGCUGGGCCAUGCCUGACGCUGAGGUGCGAAAGCCAGGGGAGCGAACGGGAUUAGAUACCCUGGUAGUCC
RNAcentral lists this ribosomal RNA (292 nucleotides) under uncultured bacterium. RNAcentral describes it as "partial 16S ribosomal RNA". It matches the Rfam family "Bacterial small subunit ribosomal RNA", at positions 505 to 796 of the family's 1533-position model. The record is from RNAcentral.